This 107-nucleotide small nuclear RNA is filed under the name Chinchilla lanigera (long-tailed chinchilla). Lineage: Eukaryota; Metazoa; Chordata; Mammalia; Rodentia; Chinchillidae. The record is from RNAcentral.
GAGCUUGCUUCGGCAGCACACCUACUAAAAUUGGAACGAUACGGAAAAGAUUAGCAUGGCCUCUGCCCAAGUUUGACACUCAAGUUUGUGAAGCUUUCUAUAUUUUU